RNAcentral lists this ribosomal RNA (433 nucleotides) under uncultured bacterium. Its description in RNAcentral is "partial 16S ribosomal RNA". It matches the Rfam family "Bacterial small subunit ribosomal RNA", at positions 29 to 507 of the family's 1533-position model. The record is from RNAcentral.
AACGAACGCUGGCGGCAUGCCUAACACAUGCAAGUCGAACGAGACCUUCGGGUCUAGUGGCGCACGGGUGCGUAACGCGUGGGAACCUGCCCUUAGGUUCGGAAUAACUCCCCGAAAGGGGUGCUAAUACCGGAUAAUGUCUUCGGACCAAAGAUUUAUCGCCUUUGGAUGGGCCCGCGUUGGAUUAGCUAGUUGGUAGGGUAAAAGCCUAACAAGGCGACGAUCCAUAACUGGUCUGAGAGGAUGAUCAGCCACACUGGGACUGAGACACGGCCCAGACUCCUACGGGAUGCAGCAGUGGGGAAUAUUGGACAGUGGGCGAAAGCCUGAUCCAGCAAUGCCGCGUGAGUGAUGAAGGCCUUAGGGUUGUAAAGCUCUUUUACCCGGGAUGAUAAUGACAGUACCGGGAGAAUAAGCUCCGGCUAACUCCGUG